This 18-nucleotide microRNA is filed under the name Ornithorhynchus anatinus (platypus). Its description in RNAcentral is "oan-miR-1384". The record is from miRBase by way of RNAcentral. Lineage: Eukaryota; Metazoa; Chordata; Mammalia; Monotremata; Ornithorhynchidae.
UGCAAUUUUUGGAACCAA